GGAAACUUGUGCCGACACUUGACGUGACGAACCUUUCAACACUUGUUGGUUGAUUAGAGGAAUGGUUAUAGGUUUUAUAAACCAUCAAAUAGUUGUUUUAAUAUGGAACAAAUUAGCCGACACAAUUCCAUCUUUGACUCCAGUGAUGAUGUGAUCCUAAUCGAUCAAUUUGCGGCGGUCUUCGACAAAGUUGUUUGGCAUAUAGUCAUCUACAAGAAUACCAAAGGGUUUAAUUAUGAAACGCCACCUAGCGAAUCGAAAAAAUCGAAUACUUUAGAUUUCUGUAUACAUUUGGCCACGUAUUCCCAUACAAACUUCAAGCUUGUUCCCUUAGGCUUGAUAGAUUUUGCUCAAAUUUUGAACGUAGCUUCUGAGAGUCCAAAACAACUGCUUCAGCAGGUAAGACUUGUCCUUUUUCGAUUUUUUUUUAAUAUAUAUGUGGGCCACCCUAUUGGUGGUCACGAUGUUCAAUCAGAAUAACAAUUAAUCAGCGGUUUACGCUGGUAAGUGAAUCCCCCUACUCUUUCAUCAGUAGAACUCAUCUGAUCGAGUGCGCACGCACUCGUAUUUGCUGGGGCUGCUGCUGUAUGUAAUGACGGGGUCGGUCGCAGAUCGCAUUAAUUUAUCGAGUUUUAAUCCGAAAUAACACUUGGGGAAUAGUGUAACUGUAACUAUUGUUACAGCUAUUGUCUAUCCGGUUGGAAUCAAGACCGACAUUCAAUCAAAAAUUGCCAUUUUCUUGGUCCACAAGUGUCGCAACUGUUUCGCAUCUAGUGCGCUGUGUUGCUGACAACAACGGGAAGGAUGCGCACUACCUUUGAUAUGAUUGAAAAACGUCGCGAGUUGGGUCGCGUCGCAACUUGAUUGUGCGAAGUCCGGUUUGGUGGCGGCCCGACAAUACCUAUUUCCUUUACCAAUCACGAUUCGCCUAUGGCAGAUCACUUCGUAUGCAUGUGCAAAAGUAUGUGUUACAAAUUUCACAAUCGCAGAUAUGUUGCACUCGUUGAAAUAGGCUUUGGAACAGAAGGUCGAAGGGACAAAAGCUGGAAUGGGACAAAAGGUCGAAUGAAGAAAAAAUUUAGUAGACCAAUUUACCAGCUGGUAUGUCUUGCUUAUAAGACAAUUUUUUUAGGAAGUCUUUGUUGCCGCUCAUUGAGAGAAACGUUGUAGUGCUGUUAUAGAAAUCAUAUGCAUUCCAGCCACUAACAUAUCCUUAGGAAAUUUUGCCUUCUUUUGUUUAUAGGCUGUUCUUUCAAGUUGUGUUAAUGUAGUAUUUAUUUGAUUUGAUUUGAGUUUGAUUUUUCAUUUAGAAAUUUUUUCCUUCAAUGCUGUUCUUUUAACUUUUGUUAUCGAAAUAAUUAUUGACUCCUUAUAGGGACUUAUUUUUCGAUUAGAAAUUUUGUCUUCUUCUUUUCAAUAGCUGUUCUUUCUAACUGUACUGCAGAAAUAUUCAUUGACUACUUGGGCUUAGUGAUCAUCCCCUCUUGGAUUGAUAGGUAGAUCCUAAUACAGCUUCCGCUCGAUAACUGGGUUUUGACGACAGUUCAGUAAGCGAGCGCCGCUCGAUAACUGAACUAAGCUUCCGGAGCCGGAGGCUAUUGUUAUAAUUUGUUUUGUUUAUCGAUUUGCAAAAUGUGAGGUUAGAUUUCGUUUAUUUUUGACAGACAACUGCUUUUUAACUGAACUUUGGUCCAGUUAUCGAGCGACCAGUUAAAAAAGCAGUCCAGUUAAACAGCAGCCAGUUAUCGAGCGGAUGCUGUAGUUAUACUGUAUAAGUAAACGAUUUUAUUUUAUUUGCUCAUACAGGCGUGACGCCAAAAACUGAGAAUUUUCGAAUACGUAGUGGCUCAAAAACGGUGCUUAAAAACCUCAACUAUAAACUUGUAUGCUCUUUAUGUAAGUGCCAAUGAAAUUGUUAGGAAAUCCGUAUACAGUUAUAUAGUUAGGCAUGGCAAUAAAUCGGGAUCGCUAAUAAUAGGUUAAGUACAUUUACUGCAAGUGUUCAUUUUGUGUAUCAAUAAACAUGUAUUCUAAAUAUA
Long non-coding RNA from Aedes albopictus (Asian tiger mosquito), 2039 nucleotides. RefSeq lists it as uncharacterized. The transcript has 2 exons. NCBI's taxonomy places the organism in Eukaryota, Metazoa, Arthropoda, Insecta, Diptera, Culicidae. The record is from RefSeq and is a predicted model, not a curated record.